AGUGGAUUAGCGGCGGACGGGUGAGUAACACGUGGGUAACCUGCCUCAAAGUGGGGGAUAGCCUUCCGAAAGGAAGAUUAAUACCGCAUAACAUAAGAGAAUCGCAUGAUUUUCUUAUCAAAGAUUUAUUGCUUUGAGAUGGACCCGCGGCGCAUUAGCUAGUUGGUAAGGUAACGGCUUACCAAGGCAACGAUGCGUAGCCGACCUGAGAGGGUGAUCGGCCACAUUGGAACUGAGACACGGUCCAGACUCCUACGGGAGGCAGCAGUGGGGAAUAUUGCGCAAUGGGGGAAACCCUGACGCAGCAACGCCGCGUGGGUGAUGAAGGUCUUCGGAUUGUAAAGCCCUGUUUUCUGGGACGAUAAUGACGGUACCAGAGGAGGAAGCCACGGCUAACUACGUGCCAGCAGCCGCGGUAAUACGUAGGUGGCGAGCGUUGUCCGGAUUUACUGGGCGUAAAGGGUGCGUAGGCGGAUGUUUAAGUGGGAUGUGAAAUCCCCGGGCUUAACCUGGGGGCUGCAUUCCAAACUGGAUAUCUAGAGUGCAGGAGAGGAAAGCGGAAUUCCUAGUGUAGCGGUGAAAUGCGUAGAGAUUAGGAAGAACACCAGUGGCGAAGGCGGCUUUCUGGACUGUAACUGACGCUGAGGCACGAAAGCGUGGGUAGCAAACAGGAUUAGAUACCCUGGUAGUCCACGCCGUAAACGAUGGAUACUAGGUGUAGGGGGUAUCAACUCCCCCUGUGCCGCAGUUAACACAAUAAGUAUCCCGCCUGGGGAGUACGGUCGCAAGAUUAAAACUCAAAGGAAUUGACGGGGGCCCGCACAAGCMGCGGAGCAUGUGGUUUAAUUCGAAGCAACGCGAAGAACCUUACCUGGACUUGACAUCCCUUGCAUAGCCUAGAGAUAGGUGAAGCCCUUCGGGGCAAGGAGACAGGUGGUGCAUGGUUGUCGUCAGCUCGUGUCGUGAGAUGUUAGGUUAAGUCCUGCAACGAGCGCAACCCUUGUUAUUAGUUGCUACCAUUAAGUUGAGCACUCUAAUGAGACUGCCUGGGUAACCAGGAGGAAGGUGGGGAUGACGUCAA
Molecule: ribosomal RNA, 1081 nt
Filed under: Clostridium sporogenes
Lineage: Bacteria; Bacillati; Bacillota; Clostridia; Eubacteriales; Clostridiaceae
Description: bacterial SSU rRNA
Rfam family: Bacterial small subunit ribosomal RNA
Source: RNAcentral